This 207-nucleotide ribosomal RNA is filed under the name uncultured bacterium. Its description in RNAcentral is "partial 16S ribosomal RNA". It matches the Rfam family "Bacterial small subunit ribosomal RNA", at positions 568 to 774 of the family's 1533-position model. The record is from RNAcentral.
CGCGUAGGUGGUUUGAUAAGCGAGAUGUAAAAGCCCCGGGCUUAACCUGGGAACGGCAUUUCGAACUGUCAGGCUAGAGUGUGGUAGAGGGUAGUGGAAUUUCCUGUGUAGCGGUGAAAUGCGUAGAUAUAGGAAGGAACACCAGUGGCGAAGGCGACUACCUGGACCAACACUGACACUGAGGUGCGAAAGCGUGGGGAGCAAACA